CAAGCAUAUCAUCAUCAUGAUCCCAAUGGCUCCGCUGAAUACUGUGUAGAUGCAAAAACCACUCAAAACUUGUAAUACGAAAAUUAUCUCAUAAUAUGGAGUGAUCUGUUCGUUGAUAAAUGGAAGUUUCCUUUUGUUGCUUUUUUCCUUGAAGAAUACGUAGUAAAAACCUGGACUGACGAAGAACAACGCCAAGGAAAUAAUAAUGGAACGAAUAACCCGUUGUAAUAUCUUCAUGCACAACGACGAUUCUGGAGGAAGUGGCCAGACACCGAGUGCCAUUAUAAAGGGUUCCACUGGCUGAAAGCUCAAGCUCGAUUGGUCAAAUGUGCGUGAUGAAAUGCUUACAAAGGGAAGCACCACUACCCCUUUCAAACGGCAGGCAUACGCUUGCGUUUGCGUUUAUAAAUUUUUAAGCAUCGCGAGAUGA
This is a long non-coding RNA of Bombus huntii, 430 nucleotides long. RefSeq lists it as uncharacterized. The transcript is spliced from 3 exons. The record is from RefSeq and is a predicted model, not a curated record. NCBI's taxonomy places the organism in Eukaryota, Metazoa, Arthropoda, Insecta, Hymenoptera, Apidae.